This 431-nucleotide ribosomal RNA is filed under the name uncultured bacterium. Its description in RNAcentral is "bacterial SSU rRNA". It matches the Rfam family "Bacterial small subunit ribosomal RNA", at positions 608 to 1035 of the family's 1533-position model. The record is from RNAcentral.
CUUAACCGAAAGUUCGCAAUGAAAACUGGUAGGCUUGAGAGUGGAAGAGAGAAGUGGAAUUCUCGGAGUAGCGGUAAAAUGCGUAGAUCUCGAGAGGAACACCGAUGGCGAAAGCAGCUUCUUGGUUCACUUCUGACGUUGAGGCACGAAAGCGUGGGGAGCAAACAGGAUUAGAUACCCUGGUAGUCCACGCUGUAAACGAUGAUCACUAGAUGUCAGCUUUGCUUUGCAAGGUUGGUAUCGAAGCUAACGCGUUAAGUGAUCCACCUGGGAACUACGGUCGCAAGAUUAAAACUCAAAGGAAUUGACGGGGGUCCGCACAAGCGGUGGAACAUGUGGUUUAAUUCGACACUACGCGAGGAACCUUACCUGGGCUUGACAUGUUUUUGAUAGCUGUAGAAAUACAGUUUUUUGGAUUUCGGUUCAAACAG